RNAcentral lists this ribosomal RNA (1217 nucleotides) under Listeria monocytogenes. RNAcentral's name for it is "partial 23S ribosomal RNA". It matches the Rfam family "Bacterial large subunit ribosomal RNA", at positions 1 to 1211 of the family's 2925-position model. The record is from RNAcentral. Lineage: Bacteria; Bacillati; Bacillota; Bacilli; Caryophanales; Listeriaceae.
UUGGUUAAGUUAGAAAGGGCGCACGGUGGAUGCCUUGGCACUAGGAGCCGAAGAAGGACGGGACUAACACCGAUAUGCUUUGGGGAGCUGUACGUAAGCGUUGAUCCAGAGAUUUCCGAAUGGGGGAACCCACUAUCUUUAGUCGGAUAGUAUCCUUACGUGAAUACAUAGCGUGAGGAAGGCAGACCCAGGGAACUGAAACAUCUAAGUACCUGGAGGAAGAGAAAGAAAAAUCGAUUUCCUGAGUAGCGGCGAGCGAAACGGAAAGAGCCCAAACCAAGAAGCUUGCUUCUUGGGGUUGUAGGACACUCUAUACGGAGUUACAAAAGAAAGUUAUAAAUGAAGCGGUCUGGAAAGGCCCGCCAAAGACGGUAACAGCCCGGUAGUUGAAAUAGCUUUCCCUCCAGAGUGGAUCCUGAGUACGGCGGAACACGUGAAAUUCCGUCGGAAUCCGGGAGGACCAUCUCCCAAGGCUAAAUACUCCCUAGUGACCGAUAGUGAACCAGUACCGUGAGGGAAAGGUGAAAAGCACCCCGGAAGGGGAGUGAAACAGUUCCUGAAACCGUGUGCCUACAAGUAGUUAGAGCCCGUUAAUGGGUGAUAGCGUGCCUUUUGUAGAAUGAACCGGCGAGUUACGAUUUGUUGCAAGGUUAAGCGGAAAAAGCGGAGCCGUAGCGAAAGCGAGUCUGAAUAGGGCGCAUAAGUAACAGGUCGUAGACCCGAAACCAGGUGAUCUACCCAUGUCCAGGAUGAAGGUAAGGUAAUACUUACUGGAGGUCCGAACCCACGCACGUUGAAAAGUGCGGGGAUGAGGUGUGGGUAGCGGAGAAAUUCCAAUCGAACUUGGAGAUAGCUGGUUCUCUCCGAAAUAGCUUUAGGGCUAGCCUCGAGGUAAAGAGUCAUGGAGGUAGAGCACUGUUUGGACUAGGGGCCCUUCUCGGGUUACCGAAUUCAGAUAAACUCCGAAUGCCAUGUACUUAUACUCGGGAGUCAGACUGCGAGUGAUAAGAUCCGUAGUCGAAAGGGAAACAGCCCAGACCACCAGUUAAGGUCCCCAAAUAUAUGUUAAGUGGAAAAGGAUGUGGGGUUGCUUAGACAACCAGGAUGUUGGCUUAGAAGCAGCCACCAUUGAAAGAGUGCGUAAUAGCUCACUGGUCGAGUGACCCCGCGCCGAAAAUGUACCGGGGCUAAACAUAUUACCGAAACUGUGGAUGAAC